GGUUAAAACUCAAAUGAAUUGACGGGGGCCCGCACAAGCGGUGGAGCAUGUGGUUUAUUUCGAUGCAACGCGAAGAACCUUACCUGGCCUUGACAUCCACGGAAUUUGGCAGAGAUGCCUUAGUGCCUUCGGGAACCGUGAGACAGGUGCUGCAUGGCUGUCGUCAGCUCGUGUUGUGAAAUGUUGGGUUAAGUCCCGCAACGAGCGCAACCCUUAUCCUUUGUUGCCAGCGAUACGGUCGGGAACUCAAAGGAGACUGCCGGUGAUAAACCGGAGGAAGGUGGGGAUGACGUCAAGUCAUCAUGGCCCUUACGGCCAGGGCUACACACGUGCUACAAUGGCGCAUACAAAGAGAAGCGACCUCGCGAGAGCAAGCGGACCUCAUAAAGUGCGUCGUAGUCCGGAUCGGAGUCUGCAACUCGACUCCGUGAAGUCGGAAUCGCUAGUAAUCGUAGAUCAGAAUGCUACGGUGAAUACGUUCCCGGGCCUUGUACACACCGCCCGUCACACCAUGGGAGUGGGUUGCAAAAGAAGUAGGUAGCUUAACCUUCGGGAGGGCGCUUACCACUUUGUGAUUCAUGACUGGGGUGAAGUCGUAACAAGGUAACCAAGGGCGAAUUCCAG
Molecule: ribosomal RNA, 624 nt
Filed under: uncultured Erwinia sp.
Lineage: Bacteria; Pseudomonadati; Pseudomonadota; Gammaproteobacteria; Enterobacterales; Erwiniaceae
Description: bacterial SSU rRNA
Rfam family: Bacterial small subunit ribosomal RNA
Source: RNAcentral